Molecule: unclassified non-coding RNA, 380 nt
Filed under: uncultured Alphaproteobacteria bacterium
Lineage: Bacteria; Pseudomonadati; Pseudomonadota; Alphaproteobacteria
Description: contains 16S-23S intergenic spacer region
Source: RNAcentral
UCCGGUUUGACACCGGCAGUCUCCCUAGGGUGCCCGGCAUAACCCGCUGGUAACUAGGGACGAGGGUUGCGCUCGUUGCGGGACUUAACCCAACAUCCCACGACACGAGCUGACGACAGCCAUGCAGCACCUGUGUGCAGGUCCCCGAAGGGAAGGAGCCCGUCUCCGGACACCGUCCUGCCAUGUCAAGGGCUGGUAAGGUUCUGCGCGUUGCUUCGAAUUAAACCACAUGCUCCACCGCUUGUGCAGGCCCCCGUCAAUUUCUUUGAGUUUUAACCUUGCGGCCGUACUCCCCAGGCGGAUGACUUAACGCGUUAGCUGCGCCACCGAAACGCUAAGCGCCCCGACAGCUAGUCAUCAUCGUUUACGGCGUGGACUAC